This is a non-coding RNA of Prunus avium (sweet cherry), 1106 nucleotides long. Lineage: Eukaryota; Viridiplantae; Streptophyta; Magnoliopsida; Rosales; Rosaceae. The record is from RefSeq and is a predicted model, not a curated record.
GCACCAAGUUUUUUAAUUUGUAAAGUUAAUUUCAAACCUGUAGGUUAUUAUCCGCAAUUAGUGCGCUUUAUCUCAACUUUGAUCAGGUCGUUGAUGUAUAUCACUAGUUACUUUACCUAACAGAGUCAGAAAGACAGAAAAAAGACACAGCAAGCUGGAGCCUUUAUGCAUUUGAUGACUUGGUGAUGAUCGUCGGUAAAAAAGAGCUACGUGUAAAGGAUGAAGGGUUUCUCAUUUAUGAAAACGUGGUGCCCCUUCUUUGUGUAUAUUGCUGGCAAAACUCAUGAAUUUUAGCACUGAAUGCAUAUACACCGAACGUGGGCCUUAAUAUGUACAUGUUUUGAUGCAUGCUUUUUUGAGAUAUUAAUUAGUUGGAUGCUAAUCAGUCUAACCCUCAUGAGCAUAACACAGAUUUGCACUUCUCUUUAUCUGCAUUGACUAAACUCCUGCUUUGUGGCAAUGAGACACACAAAAAGGGAGAUGAGGAAAAUAGUUUCGGAAAGAAGUAGGUGGACAUCUAUUGGCCAAUACAGAUUAAGUUGGAGGUAGAGAGCCUAGAGGGAUGUGGCAAAUCCUUUGCCAGGGAUAUAUUUUCUGGUGCCAAAAAAGAUGACGCCCAUGUGGGACUGGGAAUAAUAUGCUUUUAGAUAGAAUAGAAUUGUGUUUACAGUACUAAACUUCUGCCAUAUUAGCUAGAUUUGUAGUAAAGAUAAAACUGCAUGAAGCAUCUCGAAUCGUACUGAGUGAACCCUGCAAAUUAGCAAUUGAGGCAACAACAUAUCUCAGAAGCAGAUGGUGCAGAAUUUCAAAAAGAGUUGGUCUAGAAUUCAAGAGUCAUUACGCACAAGGUUCGCCACAAAACUCCAUCUUUCUCCUUUGUGAUGAUGAGAUUCUGAAGAGCAGUAGUUGCCUUUUUCUAUUUUAUUUUGGAGAAGACCACUAAGUUGGCAUAUAUACCACAAUGCCUUUUCCACUUUGUGAUAUAAUCAUUGACUAGCAAGAACAUGAUCUAUCUGAUAUGUAUUAUGCACCAAGAGAUUGCCACGAGCUCUGUCUUGGUUUAUCCCUUUUCAAUCAUGAACAUGAACAUGUACCCUUUUUUAGUU